GCGAGCAGACGUGUGUCGUGAUAUGUUAUAUUAUUUGUUAAUAUAUAAGUUUUAAUUGUAUUAAUUGUGUUCGCGUCAUAUCAGCAAACCCGAACACAAAAGUUAACACGAAGAUUAACCGAAGAACCAUCGAAGGGAAAGGGUAUCGACCGUAGCGCCGAACGGGAACCAGCGAACGGAUACUUAAGUAUACGCCGCGCUGCCCCGAUGCGUAGUGUCCGUGCUCUUCGCGCAGCCGAACGAUCCAUCCCGAACGAUCGCUCUCAGGCGCUCACGGCUCGUCAACUGCAGUAAGAGCGGCUUACUGCAGAGAGAGCACGCGAGCAGCUGGCUGUAUUCUUUCAUCUAACAGUACCUCUUACUUCUAUGACCACCUACCCGACACUUCGAUGUGAUAUGACCCGGUCAACAAUGAAAUGAAAUGAAAUGAAACAAUCAUUCUCCAGGAUGCUUGGUCCCUGGCUGCCGCCUCCCAUCCAUGUAGACACCCGAUCUCCGUCAGGUUUCGCUUCACCUGAUCCAGCCAUUGAGUUCAAACACGUCUAAAGCGUUUUCCGCUCGGAUGGCCCAGGACUCGUCAAUAAGUUGUAGACUCGCCCGCACCCGCGUCAAUGCUGGCGGAAAAAACACGCAGCCUCGGCUCAACAUGGACUCCAUAAGGGACAAUAUUGUCCAACAGGAAUGCAAAGCCGCUGUUAGCUCCCGAACUAGUCGCGUAACGAUAUAGAAUCUUCUUUCUCAUAGGAGUCAAAAAAUGUUGAAUCGCCGAGUUUCGCUUUGGGUGGAAACUUUACUGUGUCGCGGUUUUUGAACACCUUUAAAAAGUUCACCUUUAAAACUAUUCAUGCUCGCUGUCGUGAUGCUACUGGUGCAAUCGCAAUGGCGAGGAACCCGAUUCCUGAUCUUGAGGUCAUUCGCCUUCCCUGUACCCGAACCCGUUACAGUGCUCUCUAUAGGUGAGAGUGUGGAAUCUCUCGCGAUCGCAAGUGCUGAAUGUUUGGCUGUCAGCCCCGGUGACAGUUCUCUAUUUGUUUACGACUCGCAGCAACAGCCGCUUUAGACGAGUCUCUACUACCACAAAACAGAUAUGAAACUACGAGCGAGAGGUGAAACGUUCUAAGCACAAAAAUAAUUAACUGUGCAAGAAACAUACAACCCACACACAUGUAUAGGUCUAUUCGUUCCGAAUUGAAAUAAUUGCGUUUGUUAUUCAACCAUAUUUUGAUUGCGCUUUAUCGUUGCUAUCAAUAAAACUCAUGCUGAAGAAACUAUGA
Molecule: long non-coding RNA, 1274 nt
Organism: Anopheles arabiensis
Lineage: Eukaryota; Metazoa; Arthropoda; Insecta; Diptera; Culicidae
Exons: 3
Source: RefSeq, a predicted model, not a curated record